Molecule: ribosomal RNA, 492 nt
Filed under: uncultured bacterium
Lineage: Bacteria
Description: partial 16S ribosomal RNA
Rfam family: Bacterial small subunit ribosomal RNA
Source: RNAcentral
AGUGAACGCUGGCGGUAGGCCUAACACAUGCAAGUCGAACGGCAGCACAGUAAGAGCUUGCUCUUACGGGUGGCGAGUGGCGGACGGGUGAGGAAUACAUCGGAAUCUACUUUUUCGUGGGGGAUAACGUAGGGAAACUUACGCUAAUACCGCAUACGACCUACGGGUGAAAUCAGGGGAUCUUCGGACCUUGCGCGAUUGAAUGAGCCGAUGUCGGAUUAGCUAGUUGGCGGGGUAAAGGCCCACCAAGGCGACGAUCCGUAGCUGGUCUGAGAGGAUGAUCAGCCACACUGGAACUGAGACACGGUCCAGACUCCUACGGGAGGCAGCAGUGGGGAAUAUUGGACAAUGGGCGCAAGCCUGAUCCAGCCAUACCGCGUGGGUGAAGAAGGCCUUCGGGUUGUAAAGCCCUUCUGUUGGGAAAGAAAAGCAGCAGGUUAAUACCCCGCUGUUCUGACGGUACCCAAAGAAUAAGCACCGGCUAACUUCGUG